Molecule: long non-coding RNA, 1818 nt
Organism: Aquila chrysaetos chrysaetos
Lineage: Eukaryota; Metazoa; Chordata; Aves; Accipitriformes; Accipitridae
Exons: 3
Source: RefSeq, a predicted model, not a curated record
AGGUGGUGGUGGGGGGGGGGGGGGUGGACCCGCUUGAAAGGGGGAGAAAAUAAUAGAAGAAAAUAAUAAGAGUAGAAAUCCCCAAAGUGCUUAGUCACCGCUGCCCCGGCCCGCCGGAGGCUCCGGGGGAGCUGGAAGCAGCAACAGCUGUCGGUCGGGGAGGCAUGAAAUUGGUCUAAGAGGAUUAUGGUCCAUUAUCAUCAGCCGGAGUGUUUUGCUGGGGUUUUCAAUUAAUAUUCCAGUGCACCUCAGCACUACACGCGGGGACCAGGCCGUGCCCAUGGGGCACUUGACCCGCAGCGUUGCCUGCUGGAGUUGCCUCCUGUCCCUGGGCCAGCAAUGCAAGUGGGGAGUAAUUUCACUAAGCCUCCUAAUUUCAGCAGAAAGCAUGAUGCGGGAGCCAGAAGGCAGCAAAAUCUCUCCAGAUGUUAUUGCAACGGGGAAGGGAAAUCAUCCUCGGUUUAAAGGUAUCUUGUAAAACAUUGCUGCCGGCUUGGCAGAGCCCUCAGGGCACCAGCAGCCCUUCAUUGCCCUGAAAAGCUUCACUUGGACCCCCCCACCCAUGGCCUAGGAGCUUCAUUUAAGCUCAAGGUGGGACCUUGAGCCUCCCCCCUGGGCUGGGCUGGGCAUAACCUUGUGUCCAGCCCCAUCUCCUGGGUGGACCUUGAACCUGUGUUGAAGGUGACCUGGUGUCCACCCCUGUCUUCUGGAUGGACUGGGGGCUUGGGUUGUCUCUUGAGCAGGAGGCCGCAGCUCAGUGCACCCAUCACCAACCCUUGUAGCUGUGUCCAGUGUCCAUUCCAGGACAGAGUCAGCUCCUAUGUGGAUUCUCUGAUGUCUAAUUAGGGCUGAGCUUGUGUUGCAGUUCCUGAGUGGGAGUGUUCAGUGUGGCUCUUUUUUUUUUUUUUUUUUUUCCCCUGCAGAAAGCAAUUUUCAUGAAACGUGUAGGAUCUUGAUAAUAUUGGAGUCCUCUUUUCUUCCACUAAUGGGGCAGAAAGGAGCCAGGGGGCUCAAAAUUACCAGCGAGGAGCUGAGCUGGAUGGAGCACACCUGCACCAGCCUGCUUUCCUAGGCUGAAAAUACACUUGGCUCCAAACCCAGCUCUCACCGUGCCAGGUCUCUGCUCCGCAAGCAUUGUGCUGCCGGGAAGGGGGGAGAGGAGGGUGCCCGGUGUGCCGGGAUAUAAAACAGACGCAUCAGGAUGUGGCCGUGGGAAGGACACGGGGUGAGUGCAGGCAUCUGGGGCGGCUGCUCCCUGGGUCUGAGGAUCGUGGCAGAAAGAUGAGCUGUUGGGGUUUUGGCUCCUCACGGGCAUGCCGUGCUCGGAGGAGGACUGAAAGCAAACAAAAACCUGAGCGUGGGCAGGCAGACACCUGCCUUCUGCUCCUCUCCUGGGUGCAGUGAGCCUCUCCCGGGCCUCAGUUUCCCCAUGGAAGACAUGACCGAGGGCAGAGGCCAUCAGAUGGGAGGGGAACGGGUGGAUCAUCCUAGAUCCCCUCAUUUCCCCUGCUGCUCCGGGCUGCAGCAGAUCACAGCUCUUUAAGGCUGCAAUAAUCCCCAGCCUGGGAUUAGUUUUGCACCUAAUCACUGCAGAACAAAUACGAAGUUUUAUUUACAGAAGCAGAAGAAAGACAAGGCGGGGGGGGGGCGUGGGGGGGAAGCCUCAAGCACGGCUGAUCCCAAGAUAAUCAGGAACUGGAGGGUGGGAGGUGAUCACUGACCUCGGAGACCCCCCCGGCUCUUAUGUAAAGGCAUGUCGUUCCUGUGCUGGAGCCACAGCAGUCACGAGCUCCAGCCCUGUCCCAGCUUGGGCUUGGU